UUAAUUGAAACCAAAAUAGAGGUAUAUUAAUGUUAAUAAUAAAAUUGAUAACACACAAUCCAAUUGAA
This 68-nucleotide transfer RNA is filed under the name Maesaipsyche stengeli. RNAcentral's name for it is "tRNA-Asn". The record is from RNAcentral. Lineage: Eukaryota; Metazoa; Arthropoda; Insecta; Trichoptera; Hydropsychidae.